CCUACGGGUGGCAGCAGUGAGGAAUAUUGGUCAAUGGGCGCGAGCCUGAACCAGCCAAGUAGCGUGAAGGAUGACUGCCCUACGGGUUGUAAACUUCUUUUAUAAAGGAAUAAAGUGAGGCACGUGUGCCUUUUUGUAUGUACUUUAUGAAUAAGGAUCGGCUAACUCCGUGCCAGCAGCCGCGGUAAUACGGAGGAUCCGAGCGUUAUCCGGAUUUAUUGGGUGUAAAGGGAGCGUAGAUGGGUUGUUAAGUCAGUUGUGAAAGUUUGGGGCUCAACCGUAAAAUUGCAAUUGAUACUGGCAGUCUUGAGUAUAGUUGAGGUAGGCGGAAUGCGUGGUGUAGCGGUGAAAUGCUUAGAGAUCACGAAGAACUCCGAUUGCGAAGGCAGCUUACUAAACUGCCACUGACAUUGAUGCGCGAAAGUGUGGGGAGCAAACAGGAUUAGAUACCCUGGUAGUC
This 460-nucleotide ribosomal RNA is filed under the name uncultured bacterium. Its description in RNAcentral is "partial 16S ribosomal RNA". It matches the Rfam family "Bacterial small subunit ribosomal RNA", at positions 338 to 795 of the family's 1533-position model. The record is from RNAcentral.